This 459-nucleotide ribosomal RNA is filed under the name uncultured bacterium. RNAcentral's name for it is "partial 16S ribosomal RNA". It matches the Rfam family "Bacterial small subunit ribosomal RNA", at positions 338 to 795 of the family's 1533-position model. The record is from RNAcentral.
CCUACGGGAGGCAGCAGUGAGGAAUAUUGGUCAAUGGUCGGGAGACUGAACCAGCCAAGCCGCGUGAGGGAUGAAGGUACAGAGGAUCGUAAACCUCUUUUGUCAGGGAACAAAGGCGGGGACGUGUCCCCGGAUGAGUGUACCUGAAGAAAAAGCAUCGGCUAACUCCGUGCCAGCAGCCGCGGUAAUACGGGGGAUGCGAGCGUUAUCCGGAUUUAUUGGGUUUAAAGGGUGCGCAGGCGGUCUGUCAAGUCAGCGGUAAAAGCCCGGGGCUCAACCCCGGCCCGCCGUUGAAACUGGCAGUCUCGAGUGGGAGAGAAGUAUGCGGAAUGCGCGGUGUAGCGGUGAAAUGCAUAGAUAUCGCGCAGAACUCCGAUUGCGAAGGCAGCAUGCCGGCUCCACACUGACGCUGAGGCACGAAAGCGUGGGUAUCGAACAGGAUUAGAUACCCGAGUAGUC